CUCCGUUAUUUGCUAGAUUUUACUUAUGUUAAGUUCAAUACAUUUAUUUAAGCACAUAGGAAUGUGUCCUAGAUAUUAGGGAAUUUUAUAAAUAUAUCCAUCUCAGUCUUCGUACUCACAUAAUUCAAAUUAAGUUAUCUAAGUAAACAGAAGCAGAUGUCUAAAUAAAUAAAUGCAACAGGGAUAUUUUAUAUUUAAAAUGUAAAAUGCAAUUACAUUUUAAUUGCAUAUUAUUUAUAUUGCCUAGACAUCAAGCCUCUUUGGGUCAGGGAUCCUGUAUUUUUUGUAUUCCCAGCCCUAAGUACAAUGUCUGGGACAGAGUAGAUUCUUGAUAAAUAUUUAUGGAAUGAGAAAAUUAAUGAAAAAAAAACAAAUGUACAAUGGAGAUAGCUGAAGGAGGGAUUACUUUCAAUUUGCUUUGUUAAGAAAAGUUACAUUUUAUCAAAGGUAUAGUGAGUUUUUAGAAAAUCGACUUUAAAAAAUUAUUUGCAUAACUAUACUGAAUAUGUAAGGUAAAUUCCUUAUCAUAUUUGUGUCUGGAAACACCUCAGCAUGAUUAGAAGGACACAUUUUGUCCCAGAGAGAGUGCUUUUGCAUUGUUUUAUUGAAGAAACAAAAAAAGGAGAUAAUCCCUUUCUAACAAAAAGAUACUCUAAAAAAUAUGCCUGAUUUAAUUCCUUGAAGACCUGGUUCAAAUCUCCCCUCAACUCCUUCAUUUAAAUCUGACCCCACUCUGAAAACUUCCACUGUAUUAACUCAGUUGACUGUACCAUGGAUAUUGCCCAUGUAGGCCAGUUUUACCAUUUUUAAUCAUG
RNAcentral lists this long non-coding RNA (815 nucleotides) under Marmota monax (woodchuck). Lineage: Eukaryota; Metazoa; Chordata; Mammalia; Rodentia; Sciuridae. The record is from RNAcentral.